Long non-coding RNA from Lathyrus oleraceus (garden pea), 1247 nucleotides. RefSeq lists it as uncharacterized. NCBI's taxonomy places the organism in Eukaryota, Viridiplantae, Streptophyta, Magnoliopsida, Fabales, Fabaceae. The record is from RefSeq and is a predicted model, not a curated record. The transcript is spliced from 3 exons.
AAACCUAUAAUCACAAUCUAAAAUACUUAAUUAAUCUAAUAUCCUAUGAGGGAUUAAACUAGAAAUAAUGUGGAAAUAAAUGGAUGAAUAAGGUGGUGCUAGAGGGGGCAUGCCCACUGAUCAGACAAUGGGGGAUAUGAAAGAUUCCCCUGAGCUUCGGGCCCUAGAUCCAAACAAAACAAAACUCAAAUGGCUCGAGAAUGGAUAUGCGACCAAGUAUCACCGGGUUAGACAAGAGGCUUCUUUGUUGCGCUCUUGACACAUUCACACGCUUCUGCAACAUUCAUGCUUCUCAAGAUCAAUCUAGAAAUAUGCUCCAGAAUCACGUUUCAGAAUUGAAAAUAAGUCGAUCGUUCACUCUUCAUCUUUACUUCACCUGGCUCACGCAGAUUCAAGAUGAAAAUGAAAAGAGCGAGAACUCACCGUAUCAGCGUCGGCAACGAACUUUUCCUGGAUUGCUUUAUCUUUUUCUCCUUGCUUUGUAUCGACUAAUCUUUUUCUUCUUCUAUAAUCCUCUUAGUCAAUAGAUGUUGAUUAUUGUUGAUGCUUGUUGUUGAGUUGCCUACGAAGAUGAUGAAUCAACCAAGAAUCCAGAUUAGCCUUCAUGAAAUCUCGAACAAAUCUAUGUCCGAUCUAAAGUCUAACAAAAUCGAAAUAAAUUCGACACAAGCUCUGGUUCUGUUUGGUUUUGCAGGGUUUAGCUAUUUCUUAGAGCCCGAAGAAGCUGGACUUGGUGGCACAUGAGGAGUAGUUGGCUUAGCUAGAUUUAGCUUUAUCACAAUUGGCUUGCAGAACCUAUCAGUAGCCUCAACAUUCUUUCCUAUUUCUGCUGACAAGAGUACAAGGAUUACUAGGAAAGUAAGGCUUGAAGGUAGGUUAGGAAAGGUGUGCAAGCUUUACAACACGAAUAGAUGGGGUUAUCAUGGAAUCCUUGGGAUGGCUUGCAUUGGCUAUGAAACUUUUUGGAAUUGGGUAAGGGUCAAAGUUAUCUUGGAAAUCAUUAUGGAGUUAGAGACUAUGGCUUGAGCAAUUGGAGUGCAUUGCUUGGAAUGUAUCAUUGGCUUUUAUGGUCAUGUUGUAAUUUUAAAUGUUGAUUUGCAAUUGAAAUAUGUAAAUUUGGAGUGUAUGGUUGUAAUUGAAAUGGGUUUAAAAGUAUUGACAUUGUUGUAAUGAAUAUAAUUGGAAUUGUUGUAGAGUAAUGUAUGGAAAUUGGUUUGUGAAGUGAAAUGUAAUAGUUUGAAUGGAAA